UACGAAGGGGGCUAGCGUUGUCCGGAUUUAUUGGGCGUAAAGAGCUCGUGGGCGGUCUGUCGCGUCGGAUGUGAAAACCCAGGGCUCAACCCUGGGCCUGCAUUCGAUACGGGCAGACUAGAGUAUGGCAGGGGAGACUGGAAUUCCUGGUGUAGCGGUGAAAUGCGCAGAUAUCAGGAGGAACACCGGUGGCGAAGGCGGGUCUCUGGGCCAAAACUGACGCUGAGGAGCGAAAGCCAGGGGAGCAAACGGG
This 253-nucleotide ribosomal RNA is filed under the name uncultured bacterium. RNAcentral's name for it is "partial 16S ribosomal RNA". It matches the Rfam family "Bacterial small subunit ribosomal RNA", at positions 524 to 776 of the family's 1533-position model. The record is from RNAcentral.